RNAcentral lists this unclassified non-coding RNA (209 nucleotides) under uncultured fungus. RNAcentral's name for it is "sequence contains ITS1, 5.8S rRNA gene". The stretch from base 161 to 209 matches the Rfam family "5.8S ribosomal RNA", at positions 1 to 49 of the family's 154-position model. The record is from RNAcentral. Lineage: Eukaryota; Fungi.
UUUCCGUAGGUGAACCUGCGGAAGGAUCAUUAUCGAAGCUUAGAGCGCGCUUUAUUGCGGCUCGACCCCUUCACAUCCAUUCACCCCUGUGCACCGUAAUUAUUUAUUGCUUUAAACCCUACUGGUUGAUGAAUGUAAAAGACCCUUAUAAUUGAAAUAAAACUUUCAACAACGGAUCUCUUGGCUCUCGCAUCGAUGAAGAACGCAGC